Long non-coding RNA from Pungitius pungitius (ninespine stickleback), 3002 nucleotides. RefSeq lists it as uncharacterized. NCBI's taxonomy places the organism in Eukaryota, Metazoa, Chordata, Actinopteri, Perciformes, Gasterosteidae. The record is from RefSeq and is a predicted model, not a curated record. The transcript is spliced from 10 exons.
GCGGGGUGUGGUUAGCUCAUCUGCCGAGGGGAGAGCGGUUCAGGGAACGGUGCCGGCAGGUAAGGUAAGGUAGCACAACUGGGCAACAUCAUGACUGAUUUUCUCCCCUUAAAACAGUGAGCAGGACUCGAAUGGGGGAGAGAGACUGAAGCAGGUCCUCAGGGGCAAGGGAGCGGACAUUAGGAAAAUAUUUGUGUUAUUGUAGCUAACAAUGGUUUACAGAGCUGAUUGUUUUUAUAUGGGGCAAUUUGGAAUAAGUGAAUAUGGGAUAAAGUGGCAUAUAUCUAUAUAUAAUAGUAGCCAAUUAAAUGCAAUCACCAGGUUUUCUUUUUCUGUUAAUCCUUGCUUCCACCGUGCAGCUAUUUAAAACUUUAACGUAGACCAUUACCCUUUACCCCGUCAAUGAGCCAUGUAGGUGGAGGAGGUUUGGAGGAAUACAGAGUUCACUGUGCCGUCUCAUGGGGAAUCUAAAGAGGGAGCCACAGAGGAUAUCCAGGUACUCUUGGAUGACGGCAUCAUAAAUGUAGGCACGUUGUCAUCUUCUCGCUACGUAGCUCCCGUCAAGUACAGGGUGCACAAAUGGCUGAGACAGCUGACCCCCUUCAACCAAACCCUGGAUGAGUGGCUUACAUGACAAAGAAACUGGCUUUAUCUACAGAGUAUAUUUUGUGGCCCCAGACAUCAAAAGGCAGCUUCCUGCUGAGUCCAAAAUGUUUCAAAAGGUGGACAAAUCAUGGAAGGAGAUAAUGGCAAGGGCCAAUACGAGGCCUAAUGCCCUUGAAGCAGCCACACAGCCCGGUUCAUCUUAUCUAAUGACGAGCUGCUGAAGAUCUUGGCCCAGACAAGAAACCCCCAAGCAGUGCAGCCUCACCUUCGGAAGUGUUUUGAUGCCAUUACCCGACUAGAGUUUGCUUUGCUACCCAAAUCCUCUGGGACCAAGACAUCCUGUACAUGGUUUCCCCUGAUCGAGAGAAGGUGGCUUCGACUAAAGGUCUUAAGGUACAAGGCACUGUGGAGGAUUGGCCUUGCAAGGUGGAGGAGGCUAUGUUCAACUCGUUGCGCUCCCUCAGUAAGGCUGCCAUCGCUGACUACCAGGUGAAGUCUAGAGAGGGAUGGAUGCUGGCCGGACAUCCAUCGCAGGUGGUGCUGACCAUCUCACGGUUGAUGUGGUACAAAGAGAUGGACGCUUGGCUGGAUGGAGACCACGACCACUUAGCUGCCUCGCAGGAAUUCAAACUAACUAACUAACUUUGAUAGGGUGAAUGCCUUGGCGGCAUUGAUUCGUAAUAUCAUCACUUAGGCCCAUCAUAAUCAUAUAAGCCCUCAUCACCAUCGAUGUCCAUGCCAGAGAUAAAGUCAUAGAUGUAGUCCGCCAGAAGGUGGACAACAGGGAUAACUUUGAAUGGCAGACGCAGUUGCGCUACUAUUGGGACCUGGACCAGGACAACUGUGUUGCCAAAAUGGCCCUGUCCACUUCCAUUUACGGCUAUGAAUAUCUGGGAGCCUGUCCUAGACUGGUUAUAACAUAUCUUAUGGACCUUUGCUAUUUGUGCCUGAUGGGGGCUCUCCAAUUAGACCUUGGAGGAGCACCAGCCGGGCCAGCAGGACCGGCAAAACAGAAACCACCAAGGACUUGGCUACGGCCCUGGCAGUUCAAUGUGUGGUCUUUAACUGCUAGGAUGGACUUGACUACAAGUUUGGGCUCAAUAAUUUCCUGAGUGCGGGCGGAUGAGGUCUGAGCCGAGAAGUUAAUGCAGACUGGGAGGCAUCCUGCCCUUUCCUGAAUACCGUUCAGAAGGCCCCGAGCCACCACUGACUGUAAGGAUGGAUGCAAAAAUACUUUUUAAAUCAAUACCCAGGUAUGCACUUAAUUCUGUAAUGGCCUCGUUGACAAAAUGAGAACCAUUGUUGCUUGAUAUUUUGGCCGGAAUGCCCCAUCGAGGAAUGAUUUCAGAAAUCAGGGCCUUGGCCACUGUUGCAGCGGUUUGUUUGCUAGAUGGAAAAACCUCAACCCACUUGGAAAACAUGUCUACCAUCACCAGACAAGGUUUCUUACCUUCAGAUGGAGAUAACUCCACAAAAUCCAUCAUAAUGUGCUCAAAUGGGCGGGUUGGUGGUGGGUGUGCAGCCUGGCUGGACACGCCGACGGGCCUGCCUACAUUGUGAGUAGAACAGGUGACACAUGCAGAACAAAAUUGUUGUGCAUGUGCUGUGAACCCUUUUGUAAACCACGUCUCAUUAAGUGCACGUAACAUUCCACCUUUUGACACAUGGUCUAACCCAUGAGUCAACUUAGCAUAAUGGGCAGAUACUGAUACUAUGAUACUAUCUAUCACAUUCAGAACAGACAACAGAGCCUCAGCCGACACUUGAAUUUCAGUGUACGUUUAUGCUGAUAUUUACGGUAUUGAGCAAGUAACCGGACCAAACUUUGAGAAAUGGUACCGUAAAUGUCAGCAUAAACGUGCACUAAAUUUCAAGUGUCGCCUGAGUUGACCGCAGUCUAGAGCUGCCGAAGUGGGAACCGCAAGCCCUAGUAUUUCCAAAAAACCCUCAAUAUGUGUCAAAAUAGUAUCCGCAGAUAACCCAUGUUGAUCGAUUUGAUCCGCUAAUGCUAGCAUGCUAUCUCGGAGCCCACCGAUGUCUUCCAUUAUGUCAACACUCUCACGUUCCUUAGCCAGCCUUUUUUGCACACGUCUCUGUUGUCUGUUCUGACUGUGAUAGAUAGCCACGUCCCCUGAUUUGCAUAUAAGAAAGUGAAAUGAAAUACUGUGUCAUUGUGCAUUACCGUGUCAUUAUGCAUUACCGUGUAGUCGAUUGAUGGGGUGGGGUCGUUAGUUGGGGACAGAGGAAGAAAGUAUGAGACAAAGUAGUGAUCAGAUACAUGCAGUGGAGUUACAGUGAGGUUAGUUGUAGCGCACUCUUCAGUGUUCCUAGUAAGAUGUAGUCAAGGUGAUUGCCAGCUUUGUGAGUAUUUGUGGGAAACCGGAGAACCAGGAGAA